AUUGAACGCUGGCGGCAGGCCUAACACAUGCAAGUCGAGCGAGCGGCGGACGGGUGAGUAAUGUAUGGGGACUGCCCGAUCGAGGGGGAUAACUACUGGAAACGGUGGCUAAUACCGCAUACUAUCGGCUAACCCAUAUGGGAUUAGCUAGUAGGUGGGGUAAAGGCUCACCUAGGCGACGAUCUCUAGCUGGUCUGAGAGGAUGAUCAGCCACACUGGGACAGAGACACGGCCCAGACUCGUACGGAUGCAGCAGUGGGGGAUAGUGCAGAAUGUGCGAAAGCCUGAUGCAGCGAAGCCGCGUGGGGGGUGAAGGCUGUCGGGUUGUAAACCUCGUUCGCUAUCGAACGGGUAGGUGGAGAAGAAGCGCCGGCUAACUACGUGCCAGCAGCCGCGGUGAUUC
Molecule: ribosomal RNA, 403 nt
Filed under: uncultured bacterium
Lineage: Bacteria
Description: partial 16S ribosomal RNA
Rfam family: Bacterial small subunit ribosomal RNA
Source: RNAcentral